GACGAACGCUGGCGGCGUGCUUAACACAUGCAAGUCGAACGGAAAGGCCCUGCUUUUGUGGGGUGCUCGAGUGGCGAACGGGUGAGUAACACGUGAGUAACCUGCCCUUGACUUUGGGAUAACUUCAGGAAACUGGGGCUAAUACCGGAUAGGAGCUCCUGCUGCAUGGUGGGGGUUGGAAAGUUUCGGCGGUUGGGGAUGGACUCGCGGCUUAUCAGCUUGUUGGUGGGGUAGUGGCUUACCAAGGCUUUGACGGGUAGCCGGCCUGAGAGGGUGACCGGCCAAAUGGGGAAGGGGGAACGGCCCAGACUCCUAGGGGGGGAAGGAGGGGGGAAUAUUGGAAAAGGGGGGGAAGGCUGAUGAAGCAACGCCGGGGGGGGGAUGAAGGCCUUGGGGUUGUAAACCGCUUUCGCCGGGGACGAAGGGGGGGGGAAGGUAAUGGGUAAAGAAGCACCGGCUAACUAAG
Molecule: ribosomal RNA, 466 nt
Filed under: uncultured bacterium
Lineage: Bacteria
Description: partial 16S ribosomal RNA
Rfam family: Bacterial small subunit ribosomal RNA
Source: RNAcentral